Long non-coding RNA from Portunus trituberculatus (swimming crab), 1465 nucleotides. RefSeq lists it as uncharacterized. NCBI's taxonomy places the organism in Eukaryota, Metazoa, Arthropoda, Malacostraca, Decapoda, Portunidae. The record is from RefSeq and is a predicted model, not a curated record. The transcript has 4 exons.
UACUUAAUCUUUACCUGAGUGGCGAGAAUGAUGCAUUUGUUUGCCCGCCAGAACGUAACAGGCUAUCUCGCUCCUCAUUGGCUAAGCUGCGCGGAGUCAUUCGGGGUGACAUACUUGCCGCGGAUUGGUUCCUGAGUGGAGAAAGACGACGCGUGUGAGCAGUUGCGGGAGUGCGGGUGACUGUUGUGUUGUAUUAAAGACCGCGUGUUUCCUGCUACCCCGAGGUGGCAGGUGAGAGUGAACCAGCGUGGGCGUCUUCCCCAGUGUCCAGCAGGUGAAGAAUUCCGAGCCACAAGCCUCGGAUCGUGGGCAGCUCACAAAUAAGGGUGGGCGGUCAGGCCCUCAUCUCCCUCGCCUGGCGCCGCUCACACCACCCCUGGCGAUGUGGUGACGGCGACAGGGCGGCACGUGGCACGCGGUGUGUAAUGGAGGAGGCUACCAAAGUGGCAAGAGGAGAUGACUCGUGGGAACUACUCUAUGCUGAUGAUUUAUUAUUGACAGCAGAAUCAAGGGAAGAAGUGCCUGACAUGUUUAAUAGGUUGAAGAUGGAGAUGGAGCAGAGAGAACUGAAAAUGAACAUGGAGAAGACAAAACUAAUGGUAACCAGAAAUGAAGCUAGAGAAAGAAUUCAGUCAGGAAGAUGGCCAUGUGGAUGUUGUGGAAGAAGAGUGGGAGCAAACUUAGUGUUGUGUACUGUGUGUAACAAAUGGUGUUACCAAUAGUGCUCACGUCUGAGGAAUCUCAGUGGGAUGCAGAACUCUGUAUGUCCAAGACGUAUGUGGGAGGAGGAAGAUGGUGGUGGCGACAGUGAUGACAAAGAUGUUGGAUUGAAGGUGAAUGGAGGUGUGUUGGAGGAGGUACAACAGUUCUGCUACUUGGGAGAUAUGUUAGACUGUGAAGCAUGGGCAGAGAGAGCAGUAAAGGUGAGAGUAGCAGCUGCAUGUAGGAAGAUGGCAAGAAAUUACCAGUUUAUAGGUAAAUUGCAGCAUAAAACUGAGGAUCAGGGGAAGGGUAUACAAAGCUUGUGUCAGAUCUGCUCUUCUGUAUGGAGCAGAAACAUGGAAGCUGACAAACAGACUUACAAAUAUUCUAUGUAGCUGUGACCACAGGAUGCUGAGAUACAUGGCAGGAGUGAGGUGCAGAGAUGUGUGGAGUUAAAGACCUCUCUAUUGAGCUGAAAAAGAGAAGACUGAGAUGGUUCAGACACGUGAGAAGGGAGGAGGGAGGGAUGUUGAGUGAGAAUGAAAAAGAGGGUUGGAGACUGACGCCGAGGUAAGGCCAAAGAAAAGGUGGAGGGAGUGUGUGAUGGAGGAUAUGAAGCUGUUGAGAAUAGAACAUAUGGCACAAGAUCGCCUGAUGUGGAAAUGGGAAAAUGUGGAAGUUAAAAAGAAAUAAUGAUACUGAUGAUAAUCCUCUUGCCUACAUCUCGCCAUCCAUCCACUCACCAAGUCAAUCCAUUAAUUGU